AUGAGCCCUUGUGUUCUACUUUCGCCCUUUUGGCUCUCCCCCAGCACCGUGGCAGUUGGCAAGAACAAGCGCCUGACGAAAGGCGGCAAGAAGCGAGCCAAGAAAAAAGUAGUUGAUCCAUUUUCGAAGAAAGAUUGGUAUGAUGUGAAAGCUCUGGCUAUAUUCAAUAUUAGAAACAUUGGAAAGACACUAGUCAGGAGGACUCAAGGAACAAAAUCGCAUCUGAUGGCCUCAAGGGUCGUGUGUUUGAAGUGAGCCUUGCUGAUCUACAGAAUGAUGAAGGGCAAAAACUGUCUGACUAACGUCCAUGGCAUGGAUCUUACCUGGGACAAAAUGUGUUCCAUGGUCAAAAAGUGGCAGACCAUGAUUGAAGCUCAUGUGGAUGUCAAGACAACUGAUGGUUAUUUGCUCCAUCUGUUCUGUGUUGGUUUCACUAAAAAACACAACAACCAGAUACACAAGACCUCUUAUGCACAGCACCAGCAGGUCUGCCAGAUCAGAAAGAAGAUGAUGGAAAUCAUGACCCGAGAAGUGCAGACAAAUGACUUGAAGGAAGUGGUUAAUAAAUUGAUUCCAGACAGCAUUGGGAAAGACAUAGAAAAGGCUUGCCAGUCCAUUUAUCCUCUUCAUGAUGUCUUCGUUAGAAAAGUAAAAAUGCUGAAGAAACCCAAGUUUGAAUUGGGAAAACUCAUGGAGCUCCAUGGUGAAGGUGGUUCUGGAAAAGCUACUGGUGAUGAGACAGCUGCUAAAGUUGAGCGAGCAGAUGGAUAUGAACCACCAAUCCAAGAAUAUGUUUGAAAUCCAGAUUUCUAAUAGUGACAAAUAAAAGUCUUAUUUGUGAUGAAAAAAAAAAGAGACCAUAAUCAAUCUCUCCUAAUUUGUACCUUUGGGCAUGUAACUUUUUUUAGACCUAUUUUGUCUCCUAAAUAAUUAAUUAAAUCUCUUUGUAUUUUCAGGAGCAAUUUAUAAUCCUCAACAAGGCAAAAUUUUCCUUACUUCUUCAAACGUUCUUUCUAUAUUCUCUGCAUUUGAAUCAGCUAAUAAAAUACCAUCCAUGUAAUGAUAAAUUAUAGAUUUAGGAAAUUGUUUAUGUAUUACUUCCAAUGGCUGUUGUACAAAAUAUUGCCAAGUGUUGGGCUAUUUAACAUUCCCUGUGGGAGAACCCUCCAUUGAUAUCUCUUAACCGGUUGAGAAUUAUUAUAAGUAGGCACCAUGAAAGUAAAUCUUUGUCUUUUUCUUGUAAGGGGAGUGACAAGAAACAGUCAUUUAAAUUGAUAACUAUAAGAGGCUAUCCUUUAGGCAAAUCCUUUAGGCUAUUCUUUAGGCUAUCCUUUAGGCAAAGGAAUUCCAGAUUUUAGAGAGCCCAUUAACUGAAUUACUUUGUUAAUUGCUCUUAGGUCUGUUACAAUUCUCCAUUUACCAAAUUUCUUUUUAAUAUCAAGUACAGGUUGAUUCUUAAAUAUGGUGAGCAUUUAACUGCUCUUGUACCAGCUCUUCUAAAGCCUGCAGUUUCUUUGUUGUUAAAGGCCAUUGCUGAACACAUACAGGCUUGUCUGUUAACCAUUUUAAAGGUAGAGCUGUUGGUGUCUUUGAAAGACCAGCAGUUGUUGUGCCCUAUCCUUGUACAAUCUGGGUGGCCAGUAACUGUUCUUUAUAAUAAUAUCUCCUAAUAUUUCUCUCAGAAACAUGUGUUUGUCUCUGAGGUUGGAGGGAUGUUAAUCUGAGUAUUCUGUUGUUAUAAUAAAUCAUGGCAUCACAAAUUCAUAGCUAUAUUAGCCACAUAUGGCUUUAAUUUUCCUCUCUGUCCUUCUGGCCCUAUAUCUUCAACCCAUCUUACACUCUGUUUCACUUGAGAUAAUGUUCCAAUUCCUAACAGCUGAACAUUUGCCUCCUGAAGAGACCAAUUUGGAUGCCAAAAUUCUGGUGCAAUUAUUGUAACAUCCACACAUGUGUCUACCAGACCUUCCAAGAGAACAUCAUUUAUUCGUAUUUUUAAUUUUGGUCUUUGUUCAUUUAUAGAAGUUUGACAAAAAAUUUGCUUUAUGGUUUCUCCUGAAUUUCCUUUUCUCUGUGCUACAGCUGUUCUUUUACCCUGAGCAGUAUGUUUUUUUUACAAUAGGCAUUUGAUUAUUAAUUGCUCUAAGAAGGAGUUUCUUCUAUGAUGGCAGGAAAGGACUGAACUGAAUUUGCCAUGAGGGCCUGGGGUAGGCCCCUCAGGGAGUUUCCCAAUGGUAAAGCCAAAGGAUUAUUUUGUCUGUCCCUUGUUGAUCUACAUUUAUUAGUCCAAUGUUUUACCUUUACCACACUUUCUGCAUAAUCCUGAAGGGAGGGGCAUUCUGUUGCCAUUGUUCCUUGAAUAAACAUUGUUUCUAGGAAUACCCUGUUCACAGACCCUAUUCAGAUGACCUUGUUUACUGCAAUGAACAUAUCUGACAUUAUUAUUUUUCCUCAAAGCCUUUGAUAUCAGCUCUCCUAUCUACAUAUCAUCAUGGUCACAAGACUCAAUAUUAGUUGUGUCCCUGAUGCAAUCCUCCAGGGGUGCUGAUCUGGUGUUUAAUGGCCUGAUCACCCUCUGGCAUGCUGCAUUAGCAUGCUGAAAAGCCAAAGAUUCGAUUAUUAUCUGUCUAUCUUCUGAAUUUGGUAUCAUUCUAUUUACUGCUGAAGAUGGUGUUUGUAACAAAUCCAUAAAGACUUCUCUUGGUCUUCAUAUAACUUUUGUAAAUGGUUCAAUUUUCUUCCCUGCUUCCUCAAUUCUCUCCCAUGCAUUCAAGGCUGCCACAUGGCAUAGAGUUAGGGUUUGGUUAUUAUAUAAAAAUUGUCUUUAUAAAUCAGCAUAUUCGCCUUCUCUAAGAAGCUGAUCUUGGGUAACUUCCAUACCUCUAGUCCUACAUAGUUGUUCUAUUGUUUUAACCUCUUCUUUAAACCAUGUUCUCCACUGUAAUUGUGGACUAGUCUCCAGGACAGCUGUAAUUAGUUCCUCCCAGUCAUGUUGGAUAAUUCUAUUGAAAGUUGACCAUGAGUCCAGUUAUUUUGUACCCACCCUUGAUCAUUUGGCAGUUCCCAUAAGGUUACUGGAAAGAUUAAUGUUUGCUGACUGGUAACCUGAAGCUGUUUCUCUGUAACCAUGUAAUUCAACCCUGAGAUAUAUUUACCUUUAAAUUCUUCUGUCUGGGUCUGACUUUCUCAAUAGUUCAUUUUAACAGGUUUUUUAAAGUCAAUCCUGAGAUAGGUUCACUUUUAAAUGCUCAGUCUGGGUCUGUAUUUCUGUAUGAUUCAUUUUAACUGGUUUUUCUAAAGCUUUUAUCUUGGCACUUAAAUUGGCCAACCUUUUUUUUUUUUUUCAAAAAUAAAAAUGACCAAACAAAUAACAUUCCUAACUGAUGUUACAUACAUCCCAUCAACAUUAAUUAUCCUCUUAUUUAAUUGUACUGUUUUCAGACUGUCUAAUAUGUUAUUAAACAGAGACCAAAUUCAUUGCAUUGCAAAAAUGUUUCCCACUUUUUAAUGUGGGAAAAAAAUUCUCUUUUAACUAAUUCCUUCCUUUAGGAUAUCUUAAUCGAUUCAGCAAAUAUGUCGACUGCAUAGAACAGUAGAAGUCUGAGGAAAUUUCAAAGCAGCUUACAUAGUAUGGUACCAAUCGGAGAAGGGAAUCCAUAGAGAGCCCACCACCCACCAGGA
Peromyscus maniculatus bairdii (prairie deer mouse) is the source of this 3678-nucleotide non-coding RNA. The record is from RefSeq and is a predicted model, not a curated record. NCBI's taxonomy places the organism in Eukaryota, Metazoa, Chordata, Mammalia, Rodentia, Cricetidae.